GUGCUCGCUUCGGCAGUACAUAUACUAAAUUGGAAUGAUACAGAGAUUAGCAUAGCUCCUGUGCAAGGAUGACACACAUAUUCAUGGAGCGUUCCAUAUUUUU
Small nuclear RNA from Molossus molossus (Pallas's mastiff bat), 103 nucleotides. The record is from RefSeq and is a predicted model, not a curated record. NCBI's taxonomy places the organism in Eukaryota, Metazoa, Chordata, Mammalia, Chiroptera, Molossidae.